Molecule: ribosomal RNA, 606 nt
Filed under: Curvularia lunata
Lineage: Eukaryota; Fungi; Ascomycota; Dothideomycetes; Pleosporales; Pleosporaceae
Description: partial large subunit ribosomal RNA
Rfam family: Eukaryotic large subunit ribosomal RNA
Source: RNAcentral
AGCAUAUCAAUAAGCGGAGGAAAAGAAACCAACAGGGAUUCCCUUAGUAACGGCGAGUGAAGCGGGAAUAGCUCAAAUUUGAAAUCUGGCUCUUUCAGAGUCCGAGUUGUAAUUUGCAGAGGGCGCUUUGGCUUUGGCAGCGGUCCAAGUUCCUUGGAACAGGACGUCACAGAGGGUGAGAAUCCCGUACGUGGUCGCUAGCUAUUGCCGUGUAAAGCCCCUUCGACGAGUCGAGUUGUUUGGGAAUGCAGCUCUAAAUGGGAGGUAAAUUUCUUCUAAAGCUAAAUAUUGGCCAGAGACCGAUAGCGCACAAGUAGAGUGAUCGAAAGAUGAAAAGCACUUUGGAAAGAGAGUCAAACAGCACGUGAAAUUGUUGAAAGGGAAGCGCUUGCAGCCAGACUUGCUUGCAGUUGCUCAUCCGGGCUUUUGCCCGGUGCACUCUUCUGCAGGCAGGCCAGCAUCAGUUUGGGCGGUGGGAUAAAGGUCUCUGUCACGUACCUUCCUUCGGGUUGGCCAUAUAGGGGAGACGUCAUACCACCAGCCUGGACUGAGGUCCGCGCAUCUGCUAGGAUGCUGGCGUAAUGGCUGUAAGCGGCCCGUCUUGAA